UACGUAGGGGGCAAGCGUUGUCCGGAUUUAUUGGGCGUAAAGAGCGUGUAGGCGGCCAGGUAGGUCCGCUGUGAAAACUCGAGGCUCAACCUCGAGAUGUCGGCGGAAACCAUCUGGCUAGAGUCCGGAAGAGGAGAGUGGAAUUCCUGGUGUAGCGGUGAAAUGCGCAGAUAUCGGGAGGAACACCAGUGGCGAAGGCGACUUUCUGGCCUGUUCUUGACGCUGAGGCGCGAAAGCUAGGGGAGCAAACGGG
Molecule: ribosomal RNA, 253 nt
Filed under: uncultured bacterium
Lineage: Bacteria
Description: partial 16S ribosomal RNA
Rfam family: Bacterial small subunit ribosomal RNA
Source: RNAcentral